ACGGAAGGCAGCAGUGGGGAAUAUUGCACAAUGGGCGCAAGCCUGAUGCAGCGACGCCGCGUGAGUGAAGAAGUAUUUCGGUAUGUAAAGCUCUAUCAGCAGGGAAGAAAAUGACGGUACCUGACUAAGAAGCCCCGGCUAACUACGUGCCAGCAGCCGCGGUAAUACGUAGGGGGCAAGCGUUAUCCGGAUUUACUGGGUGUAAAGGGAGCGUAGACGGCAAGGCAAGUCUGAUGUGAAAGGCAGGGGCUCAACUCCUGGACUGCAUUGGAAACUGUCUGGCUGGAGUACCGGAGGGGUAAGCGGAAUUCCUAGUGUAGCGGUGAAAUGCGUAGAUAUUAGGAGGAACACCAGUGGCGAAGGCGGCUUACUGGACUGUAACUGACGUUGAGGCUCGAAAGCGUGGGGAGCAAACAGGAUUAGAUACCCUGGUA
This 434-nucleotide ribosomal RNA is filed under the name uncultured Lachnospiraceae bacterium. RNAcentral describes it as "bacterial SSU rRNA". It matches the Rfam family "Bacterial small subunit ribosomal RNA", at positions 341 to 792 of the family's 1533-position model. Lineage: Bacteria; Bacillati; Bacillota; Clostridia; Lachnospirales; Lachnospiraceae. The record is from RNAcentral.